CAGUCGCCGCGGGAAUACGAAGGGGGCUAGCGUUGUUCGGAUUUACUGGGCGUAAAGCGCACGUAGGCGGAUCCUUAAGUCAGAGGUGAAAUCCCAAGGCUCGACCUUGGAACUGCCUUUGAUACUGGGGAUCUCGAGUUCGGGAGAGGUGAGUGGAACUGCGAGUGUAGAGGUGAAAUUCGUAGAUAUUCGCAAGAACACCAGUGGCGAAGGCGGCGACCUGGUCCUUGACUGACGCUGAGGCGCGAAAGCGUGGGGAGCAAACAGGAUUAGAUACCCCGGUAGUCCCUGUCUCUUAAAA
RNAcentral lists this ribosomal RNA (301 nucleotides) under uncultured bacterium. RNAcentral describes it as "partial 16S ribosomal RNA". It matches the Rfam family "Bacterial small subunit ribosomal RNA", at positions 509 to 809 of the family's 1533-position model. The record is from RNAcentral.